AGGACGAACGCUGGCGGCCGUGCCUAAUACAUGCAAGUCGAACGGCUUUUCUAUGGAAGCUUGCUUCCACUGAGAAGAUAGUGGCGAACGGGUGAGUAACAACGUGGGUAACCCUGCCCAUAAGAGGGGGAGUAACAUCCGGAAACGGGUGCUAAUACCGCAUAGUUUUCUUGAUCGCAUGAUCGGGAAAGGAAAGACGGCCUUUGUGCUGUCGCUUAUGGAUGGACCCGCGGCGUAUUAGUUAGUUGGUGAGGUAACGGCUCACCAAGACGAUGAUACGUAGCCGACCUGAGAGGGUGAUCGGCCACAUUGGGACUGAGACACGGCCCAAACUCCUACGGGAGGCAGCAGUAGGGAAUCUUCCGCAAUGGACGAAAGUCCGACGGAGCAACGCCGCGUGAGUGAAGAAAAGGGUUUUCGGAUCGUAAAACCCUGUUGUCAGAGAAGAACAAGUUGGAGAGUAACUGCUCCAGCCUUGACGGUAUCUGACCAGAAAGCCACGGCUAACUACGUGCCAGCAGCUGC
This 525-nucleotide ribosomal RNA is filed under the name uncultured bacterium. RNAcentral describes it as "bacterial SSU rRNA". It matches the Rfam family "Bacterial small subunit ribosomal RNA", at positions 26 to 518 of the family's 1533-position model. The record is from RNAcentral.